RNAcentral lists this transfer RNA (72 nucleotides) under Bos taurus (domestic cattle). RNAcentral's name for it is "tRNA-Cys (GCA) (tRNA-Cys-GCA-21-1)". It matches the Rfam family "tRNA". From Rfam's summary of the family: Transfer RNA (tRNA) molecules are approximately 80 nucleotides in length. Lineage: Eukaryota; Metazoa; Chordata; Mammalia; Artiodactyla; Bovidae. The record is from Rfam by way of RNAcentral.
UCCCUGGUGGCUUAGAGGUUAAAGUAUCUGCCUGCAAUGCAGGAGACCCAGGUUCAAUCCCUGGGUUGGGAA